This 253-nucleotide ribosomal RNA is filed under the name uncultured bacterium. RNAcentral's name for it is "partial 16S ribosomal RNA". It matches the Rfam family "Bacterial small subunit ribosomal RNA", at positions 524 to 776 of the family's 1533-position model. The record is from RNAcentral.
UACGGAGGGUGCGAGCGUUGUCCGGAAUCACUGGGCGUAAAGAGCGUGUAGGCGGCCAGGUAGGUCAGCUGUGAAAACUCGAGGCUCAACCUCGAGACGUCGGUUGAAACCAUCUGGCUAGAGUCCGGAAGAGGAGAGUGGAAUUCCCGGUGUAGCGGUGAAAUGCGCAGAUAUCGGGAAGAACACCCGUGGCGAAGGCGGCUCUCUGGGACGGUACUGACGCUGAGACGCGAAAGCGUGGGGAGCGAACAGG